GAGAUAGAGAGAAAGUAGACAGAGAAAGAGACAGAGAGGUUUUCUGGAGAGAGAAAGAGAGAGGUUUCUAGAGAGAAAGAGAGAGUUACCGUUUGUGUCCGUUUUUUCCGUUAAAAGUUUUUGUGAAGAGAGAGAAGAGAGGCAAGCCAUGGUGACGGACCAGGAGAUAGCGAAAGGAGUAGAGACGGUGCUGCGGCAAGCAGACCCAAGCGCCGUUACUUCAUUAAACGGUGUCGUACAGCAACUUGAAGCUAAAUUAGGGUUAGAUUUGUCACACAAAGCUGCUUUUAUUCGUGACCAAAUUGACCUUCUCCUCCGUUCCCACCCUAUCACUAUCACCGCCAGUGCUACCGCGCCCGCCUCCGUGACCACCACAGGGCAUCCGCCACCACAACAUCAAGCUUUUCAGUUCCAACAAGGGCAAGCUCUUAACUUAACCCCUAAAGACCAUUUUGCCCUCCAAUUUCAACAACAAUUUCACCCUUCCCAUUUUGCCAUUCACCCUCACCACCAGCACCAGCACCAGCGCCAUCCUCAACAACACCACCAGCACCAGGUUUUUUCUCAGGACCUUAACUUUAGGCAGCCACAAGCGGUGGUGACUCCCCCAGCUCCGCCACCUCAGCUGCAAGCACAGCAGCAGCAUAGGCAGACACAGCAUGUGCAAAAUGCUGGGGUUGUUACUAAUGAAGUGGCUAAAGAGAGCAGUGCUCCAGUUGGAUCCAAAAGAAGAGGUGGACCUGGUGGGUUAAACAAAGUAUGUGGUGUUUCACCUGAACUUCAGGCCAUUGUUGGUGAGCCAGCGCUGCCAAGGACUGAGAUUGUGAAGCAAUUGUGGCAAUACAUAAGGAAAAACAACCUCCAGGAUCCAAGUAACAAGAGGAAGAUAAUUUGCGAUGAUGCUUUACGUGUGGUUUUUGAGACAGACUGCACUGACAUGUUUAAGAUGAAUAAGUUACUGGCUAAACAUAUCAUCCCGCUUCAACCAUCAAAGGAAUCCAGUCAAGCAAAGCGAGCAAAGGUGGAUGUUGAGACUCCAACUGAAAAUACUGAACCUGGUGCAUCACUUGUGGGAAUAUCUGAAAGACUUGCUGAGUUUUUGGGGACUACUGAGAGGGAAAUGACCCAAACAGAAGCAUCCAGACGUGUUUGGGAGUACAUAAAGCUAAAACAGUUGGAGGAUCCGUUAAAUUCAAUGGCGAUACAAUGUGAUACAAAGCUUCGUGAUCUUCUUGGAUGUGAAAGCAUAUCUGCAGUGGGGGUAGGAGAGGUGUUAGCACGGCAUCAUUUAUUCAAACGGUCAUGAUGUUCCGUUAUGAUGACUGGUUAGUAUGAUCCACAAUCUUUAGUAUUGUUGUGUCUCCUGUUUUUGUGUUUUAGGUGGUGAUUUGAUUACCCUGCUGCUUUUUUAUAAAUCUUCACCCGAGUAGUUUAGCUUUAGAAGUUCUGUUGUUGCUGAAUCCCCCUUGCUGUCAUCCUUUGGGUUUAAAACCUUUUUGGUGCAUGGAACAAUGACCAUCUGCUCACUUCUGAUAGUAGAACAGAUAGCGAAGAAGCUUAUUUUGUUUUUCUGAUCGUUUAUUUUUUGUUGUGUCCUUUGUGAAUUAACGUGGUUAGAUGAAAUGGUGAUUACUCGACUCUGAUCAGAAUGAAAAUGUAACAACCGUCACUGACCUUGGAUGUAGUAGGUUUUCGUGCUAAUUUUAUUGUCAGUUUGACUUCCCGAUGCCUAACCCUCGUAGUAGAAUGAAGGAAACCGCAGUGGAAUUGUAAAAUCCUGUUAACUUGAAAAAGACCAAUAUGUGUAUCCUGUUAUAUAGCCUGUUGUUUUCUACUGCAA
Molecule: RNA transcript, 1840 nt
Organism: Populus nigra (black poplar)
Lineage: Eukaryota; Viridiplantae; Streptophyta; Magnoliopsida; Malpighiales; Salicaceae
Exons: 6
Source: RefSeq, a predicted model, not a curated record